UACAGAGGGUGCAAGCGUUAAUCGGAAUUACUGGGCGUAAAGGGCGUGUAGGCGGUUCGUUAAGUCUGGCGUGAAAGCUCUCGGCUAAACCGGGAGAGGUCGUUGGAUACUGGCGGACUAGAGGACGGUAGAGGCGUGUGGAAUUCCGGGUGUAGUGGUGAAAUGCGUAGAGAUCCGGAGGAACACCAGUGGCGAAGGCGACACGCUGGGCCGUACCUGACGCUAAAGCGCGACAGCAUGGGGAGCAAACGGG
Molecule: ribosomal RNA, 253 nt
Filed under: uncultured bacterium
Lineage: Bacteria
Description: partial 16S ribosomal RNA
Rfam family: Bacterial small subunit ribosomal RNA
Source: RNAcentral